GGUAACAGGUGUAGCAAUACAUGCUGACGAGCGGCGGACGGGUGAGUAACGCUUGGGAAUCUGCCUGUUAGUGGGGGACAACCCGGGGAAACUCGGGCUAAUACCGCAUACGCACUACGGUGGAAAGCCGGGGACCGCAAGGCCUGGCGCUAACAGAUGAGCCCAAGUCGGAUUAGCUAGUUGGUAGGGUAACGGCCUACCAAGGCGACGAUCCGUAACUGGUCUGAGAGGACGACCAGYCACACCGGAACUGAGACACGGUCCGGACUCCUACGGGAGGCAGCAGUGGGGAAUAUUGGACAAUGGGGGCAACCCUGAUCCAGCGACGCCGCGUGGGUGAAGAAGGCCUGCGGGUUGUAAAGCCCUUUCGGUUGGGAAGAAAAGUUGCGGKUUAAUACAUCGCGACCUUGACGUAACCAACUAAAGAAGCACCGGCUAACUCUGUGCCAGCAGCCGCGGUAAUA
Molecule: ribosomal RNA, 464 nt
Filed under: uncultured bacterium
Lineage: Bacteria
Description: bacterial SSU rRNA
Source: RNAcentral